AACGCCGCGUGGAGGAAGAAAGCCUUCGGGUUGUAAACUCCUGUCAGGUGGGAAGAAAAGGCGCAGGUGAACAAUCUGCGUCGUUGACGGUACCACCAGAGGAAGCCCCGGCUAACUCCGUGCCAGCCACCGCGGUGACUGAGCGGGCUGGCAAGGCGCAUA
Molecule: ribosomal RNA, 162 nt
Filed under: uncultured bacterium
Lineage: Bacteria
Description: partial 16S ribosomal RNA
Rfam family: Bacterial small subunit ribosomal RNA
Source: RNAcentral